UGGCCAUUGAGUUUUAUAGCCUCCACUGCUACUUGAAGGCCCCAUGUCCUCCAUCUUCCCUAUCGAGAAUCAUCACACUAGCCACUUCUCUCUUCCAUUUUUCCCCUCUUGGCUAUUGGUGCUUAGGCUCUCUGUGGCUAUCGGAACUGGCAUCAUCGGCCAUAAUCAACCAUCAUUGCCAUCUCUGCUAUGUUUGCUUUACUUCUUUCCUAGACAAGG
Molecule: long non-coding RNA, 219 nt
Filed under: Elaeis guineensis (African oil palm)
Lineage: Eukaryota; Viridiplantae; Streptophyta; Magnoliopsida; Arecales; Arecaceae
Description: long non-coding RNA (EGUI_LNC038812)
Source: RNAcentral